GGUCGUGCUCCACGGGGUCCUACAUGGAAAUCACCUAUGUGCCCACAACAAGAUAAUGGAGUUGAUUGUGGAUUAUACGUGAUGAGAUUCAUGCUUGACAUAGCGACUCAUUGUACCAACACCAUACAUCUUGAUGAGUUUUGCAAGGUGCAAAAGGGAGAUCCGUUAACAAGCAAGGACCUUAAUGAAGUUUGAGACAUGUUGGCAUCU
Molecule: long non-coding RNA, 210 nt
Organism: Chenopodium quinoa (quinoa)
Lineage: Eukaryota; Viridiplantae; Streptophyta; Magnoliopsida; Caryophyllales; Amaranthaceae
Exons: 3
Source: RefSeq, a predicted model, not a curated record